Molecule: long non-coding RNA, 390 nt
Organism: Maniola jurtina (meadow brown)
Lineage: Eukaryota; Metazoa; Arthropoda; Insecta; Lepidoptera; Nymphalidae
Exons: 3
Source: RefSeq, a predicted model, not a curated record
AUAACGAAUGUUUAUAUUAUAGACAAGAUGUUGCCCCUGGCUUCGUCCGCGUGGAUUAAGGUUUAUAAAAAUCCCGUGGGAACUUUUGCUCUCCCACAACAAAAGCAGCCUAUCUGUAGUAGCCCGUCCAUGGGACGCAAGGUAUGUACAAAUAUUUAAACAGAUGAUUCUUCAAAAAUCCCAUGGGAUCACUAUGAUUUAGGAAUUCAAUUCCCUACAGCGUUAAAGAGUUGGGUCCUUGAGUCCAACAAUAAAGUCUUUACUUGGUAGGUAGGUACCUCCAAUAUCAAUUUAUAACCAACAGUUUCUAAAUUCCAUCAGUUUUGGUGAUCAGGUCCCCUGCAGCAUCAGGAUUGAGGAGUUGGAAUCCAAAUUUUUUAUGAACCAAUG